Molecule: long non-coding RNA, 1270 nt
Filed under: Homo sapiens (human)
Lineage: Eukaryota; Metazoa; Chordata; Mammalia; Primates; Hominidae
Description: HSALNT0319520
Source: RNAcentral
CCCCGCCCCGGUCGCUUGGGCCCUGGGUGGCAGGUUUGCGCAGCCCUGCGGCGAUUUCAAGGCAAGUGACCGGAAUGGGUCGGAAGCGCGUCCCGGUGAGUUUCAGGGAGCGUCCCUUAGGUUUCCGGGGGCGGCGUUGAACCUCCCUAGCCCCAGUCUUCCCAUCCCAGGAGACCCGCCCCUAGUGGCUCGAACGCCCCUAGCCAGGAGAGCCCCGAGUAGUGCCACUUGUGGAAGACUACGUGCCUGUCGGAAUUAGGAACCGCACCUCCCCUUCCGCUAAGCGGUGGGAGGCCAGGCGGGUGACGCGGAGCAGUGGAGCCAUGCAGCCUGUUUUACCAAAAGAUGAAAUCAAACCAGAAAUCAAAAAUGGAAGGAUAGGUGGCUGGCAAGAUGGUUGAAUAGGAACAGCUCCGGUCUGCAGUUCCCAGUGAGAUCAACACAGAAGGAUUGUCCAUGCUUCAAUCAUUUCUAUCCAAUGAAAUCUCUACAGAAGGCCCAAGGGGACUGAUGAGGUAUGGAGAACUUCCGGACAGCAGAACAUGUGGAGGGUUCUGGAGGGUGGUGUGUCUGGAGAGGGCGUGAAGGCUCCACACACCUUCCCGUAUGCCUUUUCUAUAAAUCCCUUAUCUAUAUCCUUUGUAAUAACCUUCAUGAUAUACCAGCAGAUGUGUUUCCAAGUUCUGUGAAGUGCUCUAGCAAAUUAAUCAAACUUAAAGAGAGGGUCAUGGGAACCUCAGUUUAUAACCUUGUUGGUCAGCACAAGUAAAGCAACCUAGGGCUUGCAAUUGGCAUCUGAAGUGGGACCUCAUCCUUUAACUUGUGGGACUGAGCCCUCAACCUGUGGAAUUCUAAUGCCAUCUCCAGGUAGAUGGCAUCAGAAUUGAAUUGGAGGGCACCCAGCUGGUAUCCACGGCAGAACUGAUUGCUCACUUGCUGGGGAGAAAUCUACUGGUCACAGAAGUCUUCUAUGCUGAUUGUUUUGUGGUGUGAGAACAGAGGAAAAAUAGUUUGAGCGCUUUCCACUCAACUAUUAAGGAAUUGAAUACAUAAUUUUAAAACUCCCCCAAAAGAAAUCUCCAGACCCAGAUGGUUCACUGGAGAAUUCUAAAAAAUGUUUAAAAAAGAAUUAACUCAAAUUUUUAAUAAUCUCUACCAGAAAACAGAAUAGGAAAGGAUACUUCCCAGUUCAUUAUAUAAGGCAGUAUUACCCCGAUACCAAAACCAGAAAAAGUACUGAAAAAUAAAACUGCAGACCAAUAUCCCUCAU